This 465-nucleotide ribosomal RNA is filed under the name uncultured bacterium. RNAcentral describes it as "partial 16S ribosomal RNA". It matches the Rfam family "Bacterial small subunit ribosomal RNA", at positions 28 to 507 of the family's 1533-position model. The record is from RNAcentral.
GACGAACGCUGGCGGCGUGCUUAACACAUGCAAGUCGAACGGAAAGGCCCUGCUUGCAGGGUACUCGAGUGGCGAACGGGUGAGUAACACGUGGGUGAUCUGCCCUGCACUUCGGGAUAAGCUUGGGAAACUGGGUCUAAUACCGGAUAGGAGCCAUCUUUAGUGUGGUGGUUGGAAAGUUUUUUCGGUGUAGGAUGAGCUCGCGGCCUAUCAGCUUGUUGGUUGGGUAAUGGCCUACCAAGGCGGCGACGGGUAGCCGGCCUGAGAGGGUGUACGGCCACAUAGGGACUGAGAGACGGCCCAGACUCGUACGGGAGGCAGCAGUGGGGAAGAUUGCACAAUGGGCGCAAGCCUGAUGCAGCGACGCCGCGUGGGGGAUGAAGGACUUAGGGUUGUAAAAUACAUUCGCUAGGGACGAAGCUUUUUGUGACGGUACCUAGAUAAAAAGCACCGGCUAACUACGUG